This 75-nucleotide antisense RNA is filed under the name Streptomyces colonosanans. RNAcentral describes it as "Streptomyces sp. MUSC 93 ASpks TB sRNA". It matches the Rfam family "ASpks TB sRNA". The record is from Rfam by way of RNAcentral. Lineage: Bacteria; Bacillati; Actinomycetota; Actinomycetes; Kitasatosporales; Streptomycetaceae.
UUUGACCGAGCCCAGCCGCAGGGGCCGGUCGGCCGUCCUGGUCUCGCCAUAGGUGGCGAUGACGGCCUCGGCCUC